GAUAGGAUUUUCAUUGGCAAACUGAAUUAUUGGGUGGUCCUAUUCGCAAGCAAUUUGAUAAUUUUCAUCAUCUUCACGCACACAUAGUUCCCCAACUUCCACCUCGAGCACAAGCAAAUCAAGCUCGGUAUCUAAGGCGACAACAUUUGCCGAAGUAGACAUUCUUGUACGCUCAGAAAUCAUCUGAUCACUAACCAUUGUGCAGAUCUGACUCUUGAUGAACACAAUGGACACCAAACUUGAAUAUUUUGUUCAUUUCACCACGAAUAAGUUGUUGAUGAUUGCCUUGAGUAUAGACAUCAGAGAUAACAUGUGCACAUGUUAGGAUUCUUAGUCCAUUACCAUUUGUUGACACCGCAAAUCCAGUUGACUGCCUCUCUCCUGAAUCAUAUGGGAUGGUAAUAAGACCUGAUUUUUUUCUUUUUCUCUUUUAUACGCACAGCCUUUUCAACUUUGUCGUAUUUCUUUUUGGCUGCUUCGUCGAAAUCGUCAUCCUCAUCCUCCCUGCGAAUGUCAACAAGAACACAGAACGUUGAAGGUUUUGCUUCCAUGGCAACCUCCCGCUCUAUCUCUCUGCCAGUGCCAAUAGGUGGAGCUCCUCCCAAGUUUUGGCCAUCAUCCGCCAUUAGCUGAUUAGAAAAGCAACAACAAUCGGCAAGCAUUAGUAUUAGUCUGUCACGUUAAUGUUUUAUUAUAUGGCCCUAAACAUAAUUAAAUAAGUACAAUCGACUAUUUUACCCAAACGCAGCAAUUUAGAAACAAAAUAUAGACAAUACAGCAGCUGUAUAGACAUACAGACAAUCGCACAGUACAGAGGUUAGCCUCAAUAUUCGAUCAUUUUAUUUGACAAAAUGCUUUUCAUUUCUUAAGGAGAGUUAAAACAAGGUUAUUUGCAUACGAUCAACGAUACCAGCCGAAACUAGCAGAAAUACGACAAGUGAGCUUCGGGAGGAAAUUUGACAGGCCCCGAGCUCAUCGAUCGACAUGUCGUAGAGGAUGGCACAGAUCGCUGAAGCCCCGCAAUCGCCAUCGUUCGCUGACCUCCCGGCUCCCGCAGCCGGCCCCCGCCGUUCAGCACUCAGCUGCUCCCUGUGCUGACUGCUGGGCGCGGGCGUUGUCCCACCGAGGCCGACAAGCGUGGCUGAGGGGCGAAGUCGAAGGCCGGAUCCUG
Molecule: long non-coding RNA, 1171 nt
Filed under: Brachypodium distachyon (stiff brome)
Lineage: Eukaryota; Viridiplantae; Streptophyta; Magnoliopsida; Poales; Poaceae
Description: long non-coding RNA (BDIS_LNC001835)
Source: RNAcentral